CACGUAGGGUGCGAGCGUUGUCCGGAAUUAUUGGGCGUAAAGAGCUCGUAGGCGGUGUGUCGCGUCGGCCGUGAAAACCUGCAGCUUAACUGUGGGCUUGCGGUCGAUACGGGCAUCACUGGAGUUCGGCAGGGGAGACUGGAAUUCCUGGUGUAGCGGUGAAAUGCGCAGAUAUCAGGAGGAACACCGGUGGCGAAGGCGGCAUUCUGGACCGACAUUGACGCUGAGGAGCGAAAGCCAGGGGAGCAAACGGG
Molecule: ribosomal RNA, 254 nt
Filed under: uncultured bacterium
Lineage: Bacteria
Description: partial 16S ribosomal RNA
Rfam family: Bacterial small subunit ribosomal RNA
Source: RNAcentral